RNAcentral lists this ribosomal RNA (253 nucleotides) under uncultured bacterium. Its description in RNAcentral is "partial 16S ribosomal RNA". It matches the Rfam family "Bacterial small subunit ribosomal RNA", at positions 524 to 776 of the family's 1533-position model. The record is from RNAcentral.
UACGGAGGGGGCCAGCGUUGCUCGGAAUCACUGGGCGUAAAGGGCUAGUAGGCGGUCUGAUAAGUCCUGUGUGAAAUCCCUUGGCUUAACCAAGGAAUUGCGCCGGAUACUGUCGGACUAGAGGCCGGGAGAGGGAAGCGGAAUUCCGAGUGUAGCGGUGAAAUGCGUAGAUAUCAGGAGGAAUACCGGUGGCGAAGGCGGCAUCCUGGACCGGUAUUGACGCUGAGGCGCGAAAGCUAGGGGAGCAAACGGG